CAGCAACUGAGGAAGGGCAGAGAAGGCCAGAAUGACCAGAGAACCUGCUGUAGAGAAAGGCUUUUGGGGUUUGAGCAUCUGCACCUUCAGAAGCUGCGCUGAAGCCUUCAUAGGCAGCCUCUGCCAUGUGAGGGAAGGCACUUCCACCAGGGGCUGGAAAUUAAACCCAGAACUUGAGUCUUGGAUGCUGUAGGCAGUGCCUUGAAAGAACUUCCUGGAACGGUGUGGAGCUUCAGAGCAUGAGCACAUUGACCUGAGCAACAACUAGAUGAUUCCUAAUCGUUUUUGGGUGUCCAUUUGGUUAUUUACGUGGCCAAGAAAGUCUUAAAAGUCUGCUGAGGAAGCGCA
This is a long non-coding RNA of Neogale vison (American mink), 348 nucleotides long. RefSeq lists it as uncharacterized. Lineage: Eukaryota; Metazoa; Chordata; Mammalia; Carnivora; Mustelidae. The record is from RefSeq and is a predicted model, not a curated record. The transcript is spliced from 3 exons.